GCCUUCAUUGUGUAAUCGGAAACAUGUCCGGCUAGCAAUCGGACAGUUCGAAGUUCGAAUCCCAGUGCGGGCA
RNAcentral lists this transfer RNA (73 nucleotides) under Stegodyphus mimosarum. It matches the Rfam family "tRNA". Rfam says of the family: Transfer RNA (tRNA) molecules are approximately 80 nucleotides in length. Their secondary structure includes four short double-helical elements and three loops (D, anti-codon, and T loops). The record is from Rfam by way of RNAcentral. Lineage: Eukaryota; Metazoa; Arthropoda; Arachnida; Araneae; Eresidae.